Small nuclear RNA from Nyctereutes procyonoides (raccoon dog), 104 nucleotides. NCBI's taxonomy places the organism in Eukaryota, Metazoa, Chordata, Mammalia, Carnivora, Canidae. The record is from RefSeq and is a predicted model, not a curated record.
GUGUUCACUUUCUCAGCCCAAAUACUGAAAUUGGAACAAUAUAGAGAUUAACAUGCCCCCUGGGCAAGGAUGACAUGCAUAUCCGUGAAGCAUUCCAUUAAAAA